Molecule: ribosomal RNA, 253 nt
Filed under: uncultured bacterium
Lineage: Bacteria
Description: partial 16S ribosomal RNA
Rfam family: Bacterial small subunit ribosomal RNA
Source: RNAcentral
UACGUAGGGGGCAAGCGUUGUCCGGAAUUAUUGGGCGUAAAGCGCGCGCAGGCGGUUACUUACGUCUGUUGUGAAAGCCCUCGGCUCAACCGUGGAGGGUCAUUGGAAACUGGGGGACUUGAGUGCAGGAGAGAAGAGUGGAAUUCCACGUGUAGCGGUGAAAUGCGUAGAUAUCAGGAGGAACACCUGUGGUGGAGACAGCUUACUGGACCACUUCUGACGCUGAGACACGAAAGCGUGGGUAGCAAACAGG